RNAcentral lists this ribosomal RNA (500 nucleotides) under uncultured Glomeromycotina. RNAcentral's name for it is "partial small subunit ribosomal RNA". It matches the Rfam family "Eukaryotic small subunit ribosomal RNA", at positions 591 to 1092 of the family's 1831-position model. The record is from RNAcentral. Lineage: Eukaryota; Fungi; Glomeromycota.
CCAAUAGCGUAUAUUAAAGUUGUUGCAGUUAAAAAGCUCGUAGUUGAAUUUCGGGGUCAGUAGGUCGGUCGUGCCACUGGUAUGAACUGGUUUUACUGAUUCCUCCCUCUUGAAGAACUGUAAUGCCAUUAAUUUGGUGUUGCAGGGAAUCAGGACUGUUACUUUGAAAAAAUUAGAGUGUUUAAAGCAGGCUUUAGCUUGAAUACAUUAGCAUGGAAUAAUGAAAUAGGACGUUUGAUCCUAUUUUGUUGGUUUCUAGGAUUGACGUAAUGAUUAAUAGGGAUAGUUGGGGGCAUUAGUAUUCAAUUGUCAGAGGUGAAAUUCUUGGAUUUAUUGAAGACUAACUACUGCGAAAGCAUUUGCCAAGGAUGUUUUCAUUAAUCAAGAACGAAAGUUAGGGGAUCGAAGACGAUCAGAUACCGUCGUAGUCUUAACCAUAAGCUAUGCCGACUAGGGAUCGGAUGAUGUUAAUUUUUUAAUGACUCAUUCGGCGCCUUACG